GUGGGGAAUAUUGGACAAUGGGCGCAAGCCUGAUCCAGCCAUGCCGCGUGAGUGAUGAAGGCCUUAGGGUUGUAAAGCUCUUUCAGUGGGGACGAUAAUGACGGUACCCACAGAAGAAGCCCCGGCUAAUUUCGUGCCAGCAGCCGCGGUAAUACGAAGGGGGCUAGCGUUGUUCGGAUUUACUGGGCGUAAAGCGCACGUAGGCGGAUCGUUAAGUCGGGGGUGAAAUCCUGGAGCUCAACUCCAGAACUGCCUUCGAUACUGGCGAUCUUGAGUACGGAAGAGGUGAGUGGAACUCCUAGUGUAGAGGUGGAAUUCGUAGAUAUUAGGAAGAACACCAGUGGCGAAGGCGGCUCACUGGUCCGGUACUGACGCUGAGGUGCGAAAGCGUGGGGAGCAAACAGGAUUAGAAACCCCAGUAGUCC
Molecule: ribosomal RNA, 425 nt
Filed under: uncultured bacterium
Lineage: Bacteria
Description: partial 16S ribosomal RNA
Rfam family: Bacterial small subunit ribosomal RNA
Source: RNAcentral